This 72-nucleotide transfer RNA is filed under the name Paramuricea clavata. It matches the Rfam family "tRNA". Rfam says of the family: Transfer RNA (tRNA) molecules are approximately 80 nucleotides in length. Their secondary structure includes four short double-helical elements and three loops (D, anti-codon, and T loops). The record is from Rfam by way of RNAcentral. Lineage: Eukaryota; Metazoa; Cnidaria; Anthozoa; Malacalcyonacea; Plexauridae.
GACUGUGUAGCUCAGUUGGUAGAGCAUCGAUCUAGUAAUACGAAGGUCGCGGGUUCGAAACCCAUGCAGCCG